This 540-nucleotide ribosomal RNA is filed under the name Salmonella enterica subsp. enterica serovar Javiana. RNAcentral describes it as "partial 23S ribosomal RNA". It matches the Rfam family "Bacterial large subunit ribosomal RNA", at positions 1 to 573 of the family's 2925-position model. The record is from RNAcentral. Lineage: Bacteria; Pseudomonadati; Pseudomonadota; Gammaproteobacteria; Enterobacterales; Enterobacteriaceae.
GUUGUGAGGUUAAGCGACUAAGCGUACACGGUGGAUGCCCUGGCAGUCAGAGGCGAUGAAGGACGUGCUAAUCUGCGAUAAGCGCCGGUAAGGUGAUAUGAACCGUUAUAACCGGCGAUUUCCGAAUGGGGAAACCCAGUGUGACUCGUCACACUAUCAUUAACUGAAUCCAUAGGUUAAUGAGGCGAACCGGGGGAACUGAAACAUCUAAGUACCCCGAGGAAAAGAAAUCAACCGAGAUUCCCCCAGUAGCGGCGAGCGAACGGGGAGGAGCCCAGAGCCUGAAUCAGCAUGUGUGUUAGUGGAAGCGUCUGGAAAGGCGCGCGAUACAGGGUGACAGCCCCGUACACAAAAGCGCAUGUGCUGUGAGCUCGAUGAGUAGGGCGGGACACGUGGUAUCCUGUCUGAAUAUGGGGGGACCAUCCUCCAAGGCUAAAUACUCCUGACUGACCGAUAGUGAACCAGUACCGUGAGGGAAAGGCGAAAAGAACCCCGGCGAGGGGAGUGAAAAAGAACCUGAAACCGUGUACGUACAAGCAG